This 359-nucleotide ribosomal RNA is filed under the name bacterium enrichment culture clone ALO1_GLFRUDD03GHL15. RNAcentral describes it as "bacterial SSU rRNA". It matches the Rfam family "Bacterial small subunit ribosomal RNA", at positions 9 to 365 of the family's 1533-position model. The record is from RNAcentral.
GAGUUUGAUCGUGGCUACGAGAUUGAACGCUGGCGGCAUGCCUUACACAUGCAAGUCGAACGGCAGCACGGGAGCUUGCUCCUGGUGGCGAGUGGCGAACGGGUGAGUAAUGCAUCGGAACGUAUCCUGGAGUGGGGGAUAACGUAGCGAAAGUUACGCUAAUACCGCAUAUUCUGUGAGCAGGAAAGCGGGGGACCUUCGGGGCCUCGCGCUCUUGGAGCGGCCGAUGUCGGAUUAGCUAGUUGGUGAGGUAAAGGCUCACCAAGGCGACGAUCCGUAGCAGGUCUGAGAGGAUGAUCUGCCACACUGGAACUGAGACACGGUCCAGACUCCUACGGGAGGCAGCAGUGGGGAAUUUU